CCUACGGGGAGCAGCAGUGGGGAAUAUUGGACAAUGGGCGAAAGCCUGAUCCAGCCAUGCCGCGUGUGUGAAGAAGGCCUUCGGGUUGUAAAGCACUUUCAGUGGGGAAGAAAGCCUUGGGGCUAAUACCCUCGAGGAAGGACAUCACCCACAGAAGAAGCACCGGCUAACUCCGUGCCAGCAGCCGCGGUAAUACGGAGGGUGCGAGCGUUAAUCGGAAUUACUGGGUGUAAAGCGCGCGUAGGCGGUCUGAUAAGCCGGUUGUGAAAGCCCCGGGCUCAACCUGGGAACGGCAUCCGGAACUGUCAGGCUAGAGUGCAGGAGAGGAAGGUAGAAUUCCCGGUGUAGCGGUGAAAUGCGUAGAGAUCGGGAGGAAUACCAGUGGCGAAGGCGGCCUUCUGGACUGACACUGACGCUGAGGUGCGAAAGCGUGGGUAGCAAACAGGAUUAGAUACCCGAGUAGUC
Molecule: ribosomal RNA, 465 nt
Filed under: Vreelandella stevensii
Lineage: Bacteria; Pseudomonadati; Pseudomonadota; Gammaproteobacteria; Oceanospirillales; Halomonadaceae
Description: partial 16S ribosomal RNA
Rfam family: Bacterial small subunit ribosomal RNA
Source: RNAcentral